CAGGGGAUGCAAGCGUUACUCGGAAUUACUGGGCGUAAAGCGUCUGCAGGUGUCCUUCCACGUCUGAUGUAAAAGCACGGAGCUCAACUCCGUGUACGUGUCGGAAACGAGAGGGAUUGAGUCACUCAGAGGUAUCUGGAAUGUCGUGUGUAGGGGUAAAAUCCGUAGAUCCACGAUGGAACGCCAAAAGCGAAGGCAGGAUACUGGGAGUGUACUGACACUCAGAGACGAAAGCGUGGGGAGCAAAGGGGAUUAGAUACCCCCGUAGUCCACGCCCUAAACUAUGUGAGCUCGGUGUAGGAAUUUUCAAUUGUUCCUGUGCCUUAGCUAACGCGUUAAGCUCACCGCCUGGGAAGUACGGCCGCAAGGCUA
This 372-nucleotide ribosomal RNA is filed under the name uncultured organism. Its description in RNAcentral is "bacterial SSU rRNA". It matches the Rfam family "Bacterial small subunit ribosomal RNA", at positions 526 to 896 of the family's 1533-position model. The record is from RNAcentral.